CUCCGAGUUGCCCCACCCUAACGGAGAAGGUCCUCCCCCGAACCCUGGAUAGUGGAUGCUCUUGUUCCCAUUUUACAGACGAAGAAAGUGGUCAAGAAUCGAAAAUGGAGAGGAUGUCCAUCAACUGGGAGACCGGAUGAAGAAAUUGUGGCCUGUGGCUGUGUAGUGUGCUAGGAGAAACGGAGGGGGCAGUUUCAGAAGAAUCCGGAGGAAGAGCCAGAACACUCUACAAAGAAACAGCAAUAGUGUACAAGGGUCGACUGUGAAUGAUUUAGCCAUUCUGGGAAAUAGCGAGAUUCAAGGCAGUCCUGAACAGCUUAUGACCGAAAAUGCUCUCCAUCUGCGGAGAAACGACUGAUGGAAUCCCAUGCGGCUACAGCAUUCUCUUGUUGACUUUAUUUUUCUUGAUGACUUUUGGGGGUUUUCUUUCACAGCGUGACUAAUAAGAAGUCAUCUUCUGCAUGACUACACAAGUAUAACCUUUAUCACACUGCUUACCUUCUCAGUGAGGGGGAGAAGAAAAUUUGGAACUCGCAAUGACAAAAAGCAAAGGUUAAACAUUGUUUUUACAUAUGAAGAAAUACACAUUUUAAAUAAAUAACUCCCAAAUCA
Non-coding RNA from Monodelphis domestica (gray short-tailed opossum), 612 nucleotides. Lineage: Eukaryota; Metazoa; Chordata; Mammalia; Didelphimorphia; Didelphidae. The record is from RefSeq and is a predicted model, not a curated record.